This 66-nucleotide transfer RNA is filed under the name Cryptocephalus lividimanus. Its description in RNAcentral is "tRNA-Asn". Lineage: Eukaryota; Metazoa; Arthropoda; Insecta; Coleoptera; Chrysomelidae. The record is from RNAcentral.
UUAACUGAAACCAAAAAGAGGUAUACUACUGUUAAUAGUAAAAAUGAAAUUCACUUUCCGGUUAAA